AACAGCCGCGGUAAUUCCAGCUCCAAUAGCGUAUAUUAAAGUUGUUGCAGUUAAAAAGCUCGUAGUUGAAUUUCGGGAUCAAUUCGUCGGUCGUGCUUUUUGGUACGUACUGGCGUUAUUGGUUUCUCCCUUCUGACGAGCCAUGAUGUCAUUAAUUUGGUGUUAUGGGGAGUUAGGACUGUUACUUUGAAAAAAUUAGAGUGUUUAAAGCAGGCAUUAGCUUGAAUACAUUAGCAUGGAAUAAUGAAAUAGGACGUUCGAUCCUAUUUUGUUGGUUUCUAGGAUCAACGUAAUGAUUAAUAGGGAUAGUUGGGGGCAUUAGUAUUCAAUUGUCAGAGGUGAAAUUCUUGGAUUUAUUGAAGACUAACUACUGCGAAAGCAUUUGCCAAGGAUGUUUACAUUAAUCAAGAACGAAAGUUAGGGGAUCGAAGACGAUCAGAUACCGUCGUAGUCUUAACCAUAAACUAUGCCGACUAGGGAUCGGAUGAUGUUAGUUUUUUAAUGACUCA
Molecule: ribosomal RNA, 509 nt
Filed under: uncultured Glomus
Lineage: Eukaryota; Fungi; Glomeromycota; Glomeromycetes; Glomerales; Glomeraceae
Description: SSU rRNA
Rfam family: Eukaryotic small subunit ribosomal RNA
Source: RNAcentral